This 250-nucleotide long non-coding RNA is filed under the name Nicotiana benthamiana. RNAcentral describes it as "long non-coding RNA (NBEN_LNC025336)". The record is from RNAcentral. Lineage: Eukaryota; Viridiplantae; Streptophyta; Magnoliopsida; Solanales; Solanaceae.
UGUUGCAGCCAUUGAAAAUUUCACAAAGCCCAAUUAACUUUACUAUAUACUCUUGAGGAAGAGUCUUGCUUAUUGGUCCAGGUGAAAUGCCAACCCUUUACUCUGAGGGCAGUGAGUUGUAGGUCAGAAAUAGUGUCCUUGAAAUCAACUUCAGCAUCAGAACUGGGGAGCCAAUUCUGUCAUCAGUGCUUAAUACACAGUUGAAAUCACUAUUGAUCAGCCAAGCAUCUUGACUGAGAAUAAUAGUUGA